CCCUUAGAUGUUCUGGGCUGCACGCGCGCUACACUGAUGCACUCAACGAGUUUACUACCUUGCCCGAUAGGGUUGGGUAAUCUUUUUAAAAUGCAUCGUGAUGGGGAUAGAUUAUUGCAAUUAUUAAUCUUCAACGAGGAAUUCCUAGUAAGCGCGAGUCAUCAGCUCGUGCUGAUUACGUCCCUGCCCUUUGUACACACCGCCCGUCGCUCCUACCGAUUGAGUGCUCAGGUGAAUAAUUCGGACUGCAGCAAUGUUUGGAUCCCGAACGUUGCAGCGGAAAGUUUAGUGAACCUUAUCACUUAGAGGAAGGAGAAGUCGUAACA
Molecule: ribosomal RNA, 326 nt
Filed under: uncultured eukaryote
Lineage: Eukaryota
Description: partial 18S ribosomal RNA
Rfam family: Eukaryotic small subunit ribosomal RNA
Source: RNAcentral